Molecule: ribosomal RNA, 1885 nt
Filed under: Paranucleospora theridion
Lineage: Eukaryota; Fungi; Microsporidia; Enterocytozoonidae
Description: SSU rRNA
Rfam family: Microsporidia small subunit ribosomal RNA (bases 1-1296)
Source: RNAcentral
CACCAGGUUGAUUCUGCCUGACGUAGGUGCUAGCCUCUAAGAUUUAGCCAUGCAUGCUCUGUGAACCGAAUGGGGAACGGCGGACGGCUCAGUAAUGUUGCGAUGAUCUGCUCUAGUUGUGUAAGAUAACCGCGGAAACCUGUGGCUAAGAGACUAGAAUGAGACGCAACCCUAUCAGUUUGUUGGUAGUGUAACGGACUACCAAGACUAUGACGGGUGACGGGAAAUCAGUGUUUGAUUCCGGAGAGGGAGCCUGAGAGAUGGCUCCCACGUCCAAGGAUGGCAGCAGGCGCGAAAAUUGUCCACUCUUUGUUGAGGAGACAGUUAUGAGGCGUGAUUGUAAGAGCGAAGAGUAAACAUCUUUGUGUAAUGCAACUAGAGGGCAAGUUUUGGUGCCAGCAGCCGCGGUAACUCCAACUCUAGAAGUGCCUAUUGUGGAUGCUGCAGUUAAAAAGUCCGUAGUCGUUGAUGCAAUUAAAAGGUGUAGAUCAAGUGCACCAAGUUUGUUAGUUGUGGCGGAGCGGACAGGGAGCAUGGUAUAGGUUGGCGAAGAAUGAAAUCUCAAGACCCAACCUGGACCAACUGAGGCGAAAGCGGUGCUCUUGUACGCGUCUGUGGAUCAAGGACGAAGGCUAGAGGAUCGAAAGUGAUUAGACACCGCUGUAGUUCUAGCAGUAAACUAUGCCGACAUUCUCUGUUGUUGAGACGGGGAGGGGAGAAAUCUUAGUUUUCGGGCUCUGGGGAUAGUACGCUUGCAAGAGUGAAACUUAAAGCGAAAUUGACGGAAGAUCACCACAAGGAGUGGAUUGUACUGCUUAAUUUGACUCAACACGGGAAAACUUACCAGGGCCAAGUCUCUCGUAGAUUGGCGACAUGAGAGGGGCAAGAGUGGUGCAUGGCCGUUGGAAAUUGAUGGGAUGACCUUUAGCUUAAGUGCUGUAACCAGUGAGAUCUUCUAGACAGGUGUCUUACUGACACAGGAAGGAGAAGGCUAUAACAGGUCCGUGAUGCCCUCAGAUGCCCUGGGCCGCAAGUGCAAUACAAUAUCCGUUUGAGCGACAUAAAUAUGCUUACGGAUGAGUAGGAUUAGCUCUUGUAAAUGAGCUAUGAAUGAGGAAUUCCUAGUAACUGUGUCUCAUCAAGGCACAGUGAAUGCGUCCCUGUUCUUUGUACACACCGCCCGUCACUAUUGCGGAUGGCAAUCAAGAUGAAGAGCCUAGGUUCUGAAUAUUGAUCGUUAGACAUAAUACAAGUCGUAACAAGGUAACGAUUGGAGAACCAGCCGUUGGAUCAUUCAAAAACCUUUUUUGGCGGCAGUGCAUCCUGAUAGCAUCACGUUCAGAUUUGCACUGUGCACUGUUUUUUGGACAUAGUAUAUGAGUAGUAGGACUGCUUAGUGAGUGUGUGUAUUCAACCCCUGGUAUGGGAUCAAUCGACUCUGGUAGCGAUGACGAACGCAUACGAGUGCGAAACGUGUAUCUUUUCUAAUGUGCAGCAGUGCUGCAGGCAACGCCCUGAACUUAAGCAUAUCAGUAAGGGCAGGAAAAGAAACCAACUGGGAUUCCACUAGUAGCGGCGAGUGAACAUGGAUGAGCUCUAAUGGUAAAGUGCAAGCACUGUUGUAAGAGCACUGCUAGCUAGAUCUGCUGGAAUGCAGAGCACAUGCGGGUGACAGCCCCGGACAGCAACAGCAGUGCGGUAGAGCGAGUAGCGUUGCUUGGUAGUGCAAUGUGAACGGGAGGUAGUAGCUUCCAAGGCUAAAUAUACCCAGAGAUCGAUAGCAAAUAAGUAGCGCGAGCGAAGUGUGAAAAACGUCAUUUGGACAGUGAAAAGUGAAAAUACCAGGGCGUAAGCCGAGAGUCUCGGACCCGUCUUGAAACACGGA